UACGUAGGGUGCGAGCGUUGUCCGGAAUUAUUGGGCGUAAAGAGCUCGUAGGCGGCUUGUCACGUCGAUUGUGAAAGCCCGAGGCUUAACCUCGGGUCUGCAGUCGAUACGGGCUAGCUAGAGUGUGGUAGGGGAGAUCGGAAUUCCUGGUGUAGCGGUGAAAUGCGCAGAUAUCAGGAGGAACACCGGUGGCGAAGGCGGAUCUCUGGGCCAUUACUGACGCUGAGGAGCGAAAGCGUGGGGAGCGAACAGG
RNAcentral lists this ribosomal RNA (253 nucleotides) under uncultured bacterium. RNAcentral's name for it is "partial 16S ribosomal RNA". It matches the Rfam family "Bacterial small subunit ribosomal RNA", at positions 524 to 776 of the family's 1533-position model. The record is from RNAcentral.